GCCCUUAUAGCUCAGUUGGAAGAGCAGCACACUUGUAAUGUGCAGGUCGUAAGUUCAAAUCUUACUGAGGGCA
RNAcentral lists this transfer RNA (73 nucleotides) under Caudoviricetes sp. Its description in RNAcentral is "tRNA-Thr". It matches the Rfam family "tRNA". Rfam says of the family: Transfer RNA (tRNA) molecules are approximately 80 nucleotides in length. Their secondary structure includes four short double-helical elements and three loops (D, anti-codon, and T loops). The record is from RNAcentral. Lineage: Duplodnaviria; Heunggongvirae; Uroviricota; Caudoviricetes.